RNAcentral lists this ribosomal RNA (243 nucleotides) under Bacillus subtilis. Its description in RNAcentral is "partial 16S ribosomal RNA". It matches the Rfam family "Bacterial small subunit ribosomal RNA", at positions 555 to 797 of the family's 1533-position model. The record is from RNAcentral. Lineage: Bacteria; Bacillati; Bacillota; Bacilli; Caryophanales; Bacillaceae.
UGGGCGUAAAGGGCUCGCAGGCGGUUUCUUAAGUCUGAUGUGAAAGCCCCCGGCUCAACCGGGGAGGGUCAUUGGAAACUGGGGAACUUGAGUGCAGAAGAGGAGAGUGGAAUUCCACGUGUAGCGGUGAAAUGCGUAGAGAUGUGGAGGAACACCAGUGGCGAAGGCGACUCUCUGGUCUGUAACUGACGCUGAGGAGCGAAAGCGUGGGGAGCGAACAGGAUUAGAUACCCUGGUAAUCCA